GACUGGUUUUGACUGCCGAGGUGGUAGCAGCCGGAAACAACAAGAGCUACGCCUCUCAGCUCCACCAGUUUCUUCUCUGAUUGGAGUUUCAGCACUUCCAGGAGGAUGGAGCUCUUUCUCUCUGAGAGCUUUAUGAUCCAGACUGCAGCAGCUGACUGGAAAACUGACUGUAAUGAUGGAAGGAGACUCAGACCUGUUUUAGUCUCACAGUCCUUCAGAUUCCCAAAGAACCUGAUUCCUUCAGAACGAUCUGACCACAGAGGAACACUGAAAUAAUAAAAGGAAACAUUUUGUGAUGAUUUGAUCUCAGCUGCAUAAAUACAACAACACAC
Perca fluviatilis (European perch) is the source of this 332-nucleotide long non-coding RNA. RefSeq lists it as uncharacterized. The record is from RefSeq and is a predicted model, not a curated record. The transcript has 3 exons. NCBI's taxonomy places the organism in Eukaryota, Metazoa, Chordata, Actinopteri, Perciformes, Percidae.